RNAcentral lists this long non-coding RNA (3970 nucleotides) under Podarcis lilfordi (Lilford's wall lizard). Lineage: Eukaryota; Metazoa; Chordata; Lepidosauria; Squamata; Lacertidae. The record is from RNAcentral.
AUUAUGUUUAAACUAAUAUAAGUAAAAUGUGUGUAAAAUUGCAUGGAAAUAAUUAAAAUGAUUAUGUACAUGCAGUUAUAUUUUGUUGUUGUUGUUUAGCAUUACCUUACAUUUUCAGAAGGUAAAAUUAAAAUAUUUUGGUUUUCUGAGAGCAGUUUAGCUCCAAUAUCAUUAUAUGUCACUGGCUGUGAAAACAGAGAUUCAGGGUAGAAAGGAAUAUGGGCUCUGUAAUGAGAAACUUUCCUGUCCCAGAACUUCCUUAACAUUUAGGAGGAUGUAAGCCAUAGAAGCUAAUAGUCUAUAGGCACCAAGCACUACAUUUUGGGGCCCUGAAUCCCCCUUCUUCCCACCUCAUAUAUGGAAGCUGAUUGCAUUGUUCAGAAGACCUGGGGUAGGUUAACCACCACAUGAUGACUUGGAAUGGUAAUGAUGACACAUGCAGUUGCUAAAUUGUUUUGCCAUGAGGUGAACCAUUUCUGAAUUAAUGGAUAUAUAAUUAAUACAUUGAUUGAAGCCUUCACUUUUUGUGAAAUCAAUUCGGGGUGGGCUAGAGAUGACUCUAGAAUAAAUGGUCUGAGGUGGUAUAUUAUUGAUUUAUUUUUGUGAAGGCACCAGACUGACUUCUUCCUGCUGCUACCACAGCAGGAGCUGUGUUCCAACAUUGGAACCUUUGAUAAUCAUACAAACAUUCUUGGCUGGGCUCCUGGGAAGAUGGGAAGCCUGUUUAUUUAAUUGUCCUAUUUCAAUUCCUAAUUGUACCUGCUUGCCUGAAUCCCAUUCAUGUCAAUGGAGUAGUGAAGUCAACUCUAUCAGAUGGCAAGUUCAGGUCCAGUCAGUUUCCAAUAAGACUGCAUUCACUUGUUUUGAUUUUGAAUACAAAGCUAGUGGUUUUAGUAGCAGAAAUUUUCCCCUAAAGGACAUUAACCUUUUCCCACAAGCUGUUUGUUGGCGGGUUGUUCUAAGGUCAGCAACUACUUCUGUACCUUUUUCUCUUUUGCUAAAAACUGCAGCUUCUCCUUGUUAACAUUGACCCCUGACAACCAGGGAUCAUGUGUUCAGCAUGAUGGAAUAAUGACAUAACAUAACAAUUCAGAUAUCAUAAUGUGACAGUGUAUUGAGUGCUUUCUGAAUGUGCAAAUGCUUCUAGGCUAUUGGGAAGCCUCCAUUUCACUUUUCAUGAUAAUUGACCCCCCCCACUGCCGCCACCUACUAGCCUUGACCUUGUUUCAAACCUGAGGACAACUUGGAAAAUAUGCUCCGUGGUAGGGCAUUGCUGAGAGUGGAGUUGCAACAUAAUUCUAUGGAUUAGAAGGAAAUCUCAGUUGUCCUUAAUUGUGCUUAUUCUCUAGUAAGUGUGUUCAAGAUUAUAGCCCUAGUCUCACUCCCUGCCCCUCCCCUCUGCAAAUUGAUGUAUGACCACCAAUGUUUUCAUACUUUAAUUGUUAAAAUAAAAUGAAAAUUGCACUGAUAAUGAAGGAGCAUAUUAGUCAGCAUGGGGUUAUCCAGUAGCCAAGGCUUGCCCAACUUUUGGGGGCUGUGGGCACCUAGGCAAACUGGAGAAACCAUAACAGGCACCAUAAAUGCACAGACAGCGGAACCAAGCACACACUGCAACAUACUCCAUCCAUUGGCUACAAAGAGUGCUUUUAAGCCUACUUUUAGUUGGGAAAAGCAGCCUUGUAGCUAACUCUGUGGGUGCCCCAUUGACAGGUCCUGUAACAGGCACAUAUGAAGACCAGUUUUUUAAUAUAUAAUAAUUUUUAUUAAGUUUUCAAUUUUACAUUUCCGAAUAAACAUUUUACAAACUGUAAAAUAUCCAAUGGCAUCCUUUCUUCCUCUUCCAUGGUUCAUUAUACAUAUCACACAUUCCUGGAUAUUUUACUGUAACCAUUCAGAUCAGUUUUUCACUUUUACAUCAGUCAAAAAUUCUUUACUGUUGAAUUUAUCUUAAUGCUGCCAGCAUUUUCAGCUGUGUACCAUUAUUUUCCAUAUAUUCAAAUAAAUGUUUUCCACUCUUGUUUAAAUAUAUGUUCUUCUUGCUCUCUUAUUCUAUGUGUUAAAUAUGCAAGUUCUGCAUAUUCUGUCAACUUAAGUUGCCAAUCCUCUUUGGUUGGGACCUCACUCACUUUCUAUUUUGGGGCUAACAAAACAUGGGCCACAUUUGUUGCAUACAUAAAUAACCUUUUCUGACACUUAUGAAUUUCUGUUUGGGUUAUUCCCAAUAAAAAGGACUCUGGGGUUUUUUGGGGAAGUUAUUUUAAACAUUUUUUUUCAACUCAUUAUAAAUCAUUUCCCAAUAUACUUUCACCUUUUUCUCUCCACUUCUUUACACUUUCAGCACGUAUCUGAUUGUGUUUUAUAGAUAUGAAGACCAUUUUAGACUUGUUCAACUUUAAGAACUAAAUAAACAUAUGAUAUCAGUUAGACCUAAGGAUGGGUGGAUCUGUAAGUUUGGGUUUCUCUCACGUUCUCAUUUUUCCAAUCCUAAAUUCAGUUCUUUACAUGUACACGUCAGGGUGUUUUUAAGCCUUCAUGGAAACUCACAAAUAUUUUGGUGUGAAUGUCUCCUAAUACAUUUGCAUGCAAUUUUGCCUGAUACACACACUUUUGCAAAGCAAUCUUCCCUGAUAUAAUGCACUUUUGUAUGUUCUUUUUGUGAUUAUAUUUAUUUUUACACACACUUUACAAUAUGCACUUUUUGUACGUUCCACUUGACUGGAGAACUGCAUUGCAAAAUUCAGAGAAGUGUGAAUUUCAAUGAAUGGCUCUGUUUUGGUUUGUGUGUUUUGGAAAGAUCAAAUUAGGUAGGUUUGUCUGAAUCAAAUUUCUCUCCCAUCCCUAGAUACACCAGCCUUUGCCAACCUAGGGCCAUCCUGACGCUUUGGAUGGGCUAAUGGACGUUACAUCCCAAAAUAUCUGGAAAGGAGCAAGUGUGUGAAGGCUCUGUUAGAUCAACAAGAGUGAUGAGGUAUAACUAUAUGUACUAUAGGCAAUACAGGAUCUACAAAUCUCAGAUAAUUAGGCAGAUGGAGGAUCUGCACCAAAUAGUGGGAAAGUCUUGGGGCCACCAGGGGGCGCAGUGGAAGAUGGCUGACAAUAACAUCUCUCCGACCCAUGCGAGGUAAUUAAGAGGCUGAUAUGGGAGUAUGCAGCCUCCCUUACCCCCCCAAGGGAAUGGGGGGACUGCCUUGCCAGCUGUGUCCAUAAUUCACCCCCGAAUUCGAAAGAAGGGGGGUGUGGGCACUUGGCACGAAGCCCUCAAGUGAGGCCGGCUUUCCCUGACGCUGUCUCUAAUUCGCGCACUGGUUCGCAUUAGCUCGAAAUAUAUAAUUGGAAAUAUAUAAUUGGAAAGAAGCUAAUGCACAUACAUCAAGUGAAGAUCGGGAGUAAAGACUGCUGAUUAAUGGAUCUCUGUGAGCGGAGCGACGGGCUGACAAUAAAUCAAGUGAAGAAUCAUCAUUAAAAGACUGGUAUGUUGGAGUGAAACGGAAAGGGGGGGAGGAAAAAACUUCUUUUUUUUGUCUUAUGUGAGUACUAAUAACCCUCCCCUCCAGAGAGAAGAAUCGUUGCAAAUUAUUAAUCACAAGCAGGAGAUCAAGAACUGUGUGGAAAUGAAUUACUGAUCAAAGAGAGGACUGGUAGAAACAUCGGGGAACGGAAAGAAAGUUUUAUGACGCAGUUACAAAUGGCGUUUCGCUAAGACAGGCUUGCCCAUAGAAGGACGAGGGGGAGGAGGACCAGGGUCAUCGGAAUGUGAAUGUAUGGUUAUCGGAAUGUGAUCUUGACCUGGCAGAGCUCCCUGAGAUAUGUUUGGCAAGCCUGGGGAAAUCAACGGACAGACUGAGGGAAUGUUCUUUACGGAGGUGUGGAAAUGGUGUCUGUCCUUUAUGUGAUAUGAUUUUUGGAGAGUGUAAAACCCACACAGAGGAUGUUUGUUUUCAACCCGCUUGUGAAGAUUAUCAGAGAUCGC